AACGAACGCUGGCGGAAUGCUUUACACAUGCAAGUCGAACGGCAGCACGGGGGCAACCCUGGUGGCGAGUGGCGAACGGGUGAGUAAUACAUCGGAACGUGCCCAGUCGUGGGGGAUAACGUAGCGAAAGUUACGCUAAUACCGCAUACGAUCUACUGAUGAAAGCGGGGGACCGUAAGGCCUCGCGCGAUUGGAGCGGCCGAUGUCAGAUUAGGUAGUUGGUGAGGUAAAGGCUCACCAAGCCGACGAUCUGUAGCUGGUCUGAGAGGACGACCAGCCACACUGGGACUGAGACACGGCCCAGACUCCUACGGGAGGCAGCAGUGGGGAAUUUUGGACAAUGGGCGCAAGCCUGAUCCAGCCAUUCCGCGUGCAGGACGAAGGCCUUCGGGUUGUAAACUGCUUUUGUACGGAACGAAAAGGCUCUGGUUAAUACCUGGGGCUCAUGACGGUACCGUAAGAAUAAGCACCGGCUAACUACGUGCCAGCCGCCGCCGUAA
RNAcentral lists this ribosomal RNA (500 nucleotides) under uncultured bacterium. RNAcentral's name for it is "partial 16S ribosomal RNA". It matches the Rfam family "Bacterial small subunit ribosomal RNA", at positions 29 to 523 of the family's 1533-position model. The record is from RNAcentral.